CCUACGGGGGGCUGCAGUAGGGAAUAUUGGACAAUGGGUGCAAGCCUGAUCCAGCCAUGCCGCGUGCAGGAAGAAGGCCUUCUGGGUCGUAAACUGCUUUUGCCGGGGGCUAAAAUAGCUAUGCGUAGCGAAUUGAAGGUACCUGGUGAAUAAGCCACGGCUAACUACGUGCCAGCAGCCGCGGUAAUACGUAGGUGGCAAGCGUUGUCCGGAUUUAUUGGGUGUGAAGGGUGCGUAGGAAGUCAGUGGUGAAAUGCGGCAGCUUAACCAUCGAGGUGCCAUUGAUACUGCUUGACUUGAGUAAUGAUGAGGUAGGCGGAAUGGACGGUGUAGCGGUGAAAUGCUUAGAGAUCGUCCAGAACACCGAUAGCGAAGGCAGCUUACUAAGGAGUAACUGACGCUGAGGCACGAAAGUGUGGGGAUCAAACAGGAUUAGAUACCCUAGUAGUC
RNAcentral lists this ribosomal RNA (450 nucleotides) under uncultured bacterium. RNAcentral's name for it is "partial 16S ribosomal RNA". It matches the Rfam family "Bacterial small subunit ribosomal RNA", at positions 338 to 795 of the family's 1533-position model. The record is from RNAcentral.